Molecule: microRNA, 22 nt
Filed under: Gallus gallus (chicken)
Lineage: Eukaryota; Metazoa; Chordata; Aves; Galliformes; Phasianidae
Description: gga-miR-6625-5p
Source: miRBase by way of RNAcentral
UGGGGGAACUGGAAGCAAGAGU